Molecule: ribosomal RNA, 253 nt
Filed under: uncultured bacterium
Lineage: Bacteria
Description: partial 16S ribosomal RNA
Rfam family: Bacterial small subunit ribosomal RNA
Source: RNAcentral
UACGUAGGGUGCAAGCGUUAAUCGGAAUUAUUGGGCGUAAAGCGCGCGCAGGCGGUUUCUUAAGUCUGAUGUGAAAGCCCACGGCUCAACCGUGGAGGGUCAUUGGAAACUGGGGAACUUGAGUGCAGAAGAGAAAAGCGGAAUUCCACGUGUAGCGGUGAAAUGCGUAGAGAUGUGGAGGAACACCAGUGGCGAAGGCGGCUUUUUGGUCUGUAACUGACGCUGAGGCGCGAAAGCGUGGGGAGCGAACAGG